UACGUAAGUGGCAAGCGUUAUCCGGAUUUAUUGGGCAUAAAGAGUACGAAGGUGGUUUCUUAAGUCAGAUGUUAAAAGCUACUGCUUAACAGUAGUUCGCAUUUGAAACUGAGGAACUAGAGGUCAGUAGAGGAAAGCGGAACUCAUAGUGUAGCGGUGAAAUGCGUAGAUAUUAUGAGGAACACCAGUGGCGAAGGCGGCUUUCUGGACUGAUUCUGACACUAAAGUACGAAAGCGUGGGUAGCAAACGGG
RNAcentral lists this ribosomal RNA (252 nucleotides) under uncultured bacterium. RNAcentral describes it as "partial 16S ribosomal RNA". It matches the Rfam family "Bacterial small subunit ribosomal RNA", at positions 524 to 776 of the family's 1533-position model. The record is from RNAcentral.